ACAGCAGAAAUGACAAGGCAUAACAAGUCAUGUAAGGGAGCUCUUUGGUUUUUCCUGGGAGUUAAAGUAAAGAUUUAUCUCCUCUUAAUUUUUCCAGUGGGUAGUAAACAAACUUCUCUAAGCCUCUUCUGGUAAGGGCUUCCGAGAUAGUUUUUACAUGCAGGAAGAGAGAAUAAGUGCAGGCAACGUCCAAGGUCCUCUUGUUUUGCAGAUCACUGCACAACAGACCCUCAGGCAGAACAAGUUUAGAUAGUGACUCUUAACCAAAGUACAAGUUAGCAUCACCUGGAAGACUUUACUAAGCAUGGUUGGCUGAGAGUCUGUGGGAGCAGAAGAGGAAACUGAGGCUUUAGAGAACUGUAGCACAUUGGCAAGGACAUCCAGCUCAUGAACACCCUCAGCCUUCAGCAUGAGAACAGGGACAUCAGCCUGCUUUGCCCAUGGAACUGUCUCCAGAGCCUACAACAAUGCUCAGCCUAUGAGAGGUGUCUCCUAGAAGACUUUCCAUUUCAACAAGCCUCAUUUAUAUGCAACUGGCAAUUUCUCUAAACAGAAGAAAAGGGGAGAUUUUGCCAAUCAAUUGGCUUCACCAUCCCCCAGCCCCAAAGUGUGUUUAAGAACAUUUGCCUGUGCAUGCAUGUGUUUUCCUUUGCAUCCCACAAGAGGAAGGGUCUCGCUCUGUGGCCCAGGCUGGAGAGUAUGGUGCAAUCAAGGCUCACUGCCCCAUGUUCAAGCCAUCCUCCCACCUCAGCCUCCCAGAUAGCUGGGACUAGAGACACACAUCACCACGCACGGCUCUGGGUUACUUCAAUAAGUAUUUUUCAAUAAAUAUUUCUUCAAUAAAUAUUUAAUAACACAAA
RNAcentral lists this long non-coding RNA (860 nucleotides) under Pan troglodytes (chimpanzee). Its description in RNAcentral is "lincRNA". The record is from RNAcentral. Lineage: Eukaryota; Metazoa; Chordata; Mammalia; Primates; Hominidae.